GUGGGGAAUAUUGCACAAUGGGCGAAAGCCUGAUGCAGCGACGCCGCGUGAGGGAUGACGGCCUUCGGGUUGUAAACCUCUUUCAGCAGGGACGAAGCGCAAGUGACGGUACCUGCAGAAGAAGCACCGGCUAACUACGUGCCAGCAGCCGCGGUAAUACGUAGGGUGCAAGCGUUGUCCGGAAUUACUGGGCGUAAAGAGUUCGUAGGCGGUUUGUCGCGUCGUUUGUGAAAACCAGCAGCUCAACUGCUGGCUUGCAGGCGAUACGGGCAGACUUGAGUACUGCAGGGGAGACUGGAAUUCCUGGUGUAGCGGUGAAAUGCGCAGAUAUCAGGAGGAACACCGGUGGCGAAGGCGGGUCUCUGGGCAGUAACUGACGCUGAGGAACGAAAGCGUGGGUAGCGAACAGGA
This 411-nucleotide ribosomal RNA is filed under the name uncultured bacterium. RNAcentral describes it as "bacterial SSU rRNA". It matches the Rfam family "Bacterial small subunit ribosomal RNA", at positions 354 to 777 of the family's 1533-position model. The record is from RNAcentral.